GCGGACGGGAGAGAAACACGUGAGCAACCUGCCCCUUGGUUUUUUGGGAUAACUGCUUGAAAGGGUGGCUAAUACCGAUGGUGCGGUUGGUGUCGCAUGACAUUGAUCGGGAAGAAUCAGCUUUUGUUGGUUUGGUUGGGGAUGGGCUCGCGGCCUAUUAGUUUGUUGGUGGGGUGAUGGCUUACCAAGGCUUUGACGGGUAGCCGGCCUGAGAGGGUGGUCGGUCACAUUGGGACUGAGAUACGGCCCAGACUCCUACGGGAGGCAGCAGUGGGGAAUAUUGCACAAUGAACGGAAGUUUGAUGCAGCGACGCCGUGUGAGGGAUGAAGGCCUUUGGGUUGUAAACCUUUUUCGCUUUUGACCAAGGCGCAGGUUUGGCCUGUGUUGAGGGUAGGGGGUAAAUGAAGCUCCGGCUAACUACGUGCCAGCAGCCGCGGUAAUACGUAGGGAGCGAGCGUUGUCCGGAUUUAUCGGGCGUAAAGGGCUUGUAGGUGGUGUGUCGCGUCUGUCGUGAAAUUCCAUGGCUUAACUGUGGGAGUGCGGUGGGUACGGGCAUGCUUGAGUGCGGUAGGGGAGACUGGAAUUCUUGGUGUAGCGGUGGAAUGCGCAGAUAUCAGGAGGAACACCGGUGGCGAAGGCGGGUCUCUGGGCCGUUACUGACGCUGAGGAGCGAAAGCGUGGGGAGCGAACAGGAUUAGAUACCCUGGUAGUCCACGCUGUAAACGUUGGACACUAGAUGUGGUGGUCUCACUGUUUUGUGGGGUUGCUGUGUCGUAGUUAACGCAUUAAGUGUCCCGCCUGGGGAGUACGGCCGCAAGGCUAAAACUCAAAGGAAUUGACGGGGGCCCGCACAAGCGGCGGAGCAUGCGGAUUAAUUCGAGGCAACGCGAAGAACCUUACCAAGGCUUGACAUACACCUGGAGCGCGCGGAAACGUGUGUGACUUUGAUACAGGUUGUACAGGUGGUGCAUGGUUGUCGUCAGCUCGUGUCGUGAGAUGUUGGGUUAAGUCCCGUAACGAGCGCAACCCUUGUCUUAUGUUGCCAGCAACACUGGCUAGCACU
RNAcentral lists this ribosomal RNA (1064 nucleotides) under uncultured bacterium. RNAcentral describes it as "bacterial SSU rRNA". It matches the Rfam family "Bacterial small subunit ribosomal RNA", at positions 98 to 1139 of the family's 1533-position model. The record is from RNAcentral.